Molecule: long non-coding RNA, 730 nt
Filed under: Actinidia chinensis (golden kiwifruit)
Lineage: Eukaryota; Viridiplantae; Streptophyta; Magnoliopsida; Ericales; Actinidiaceae
Description: long non-coding RNA (ACHI_LNC001028)
Source: RNAcentral
UCCACUGCUUUAAGGGGAGUUUUCAGUUUCCGCCAAAAUAAUGCCUGAAAGACUUCAAAGUAGGUCAAAAUCAAAUACGCAAACUAUGCCAGCACGCUAGGUUACAUUAUCUAAGCUACUAUUUUUCAUUUCGUUUUUUUUGGUAAGUAAUACUCCAUAUAUCUGAAUACCUCCCUGGUUCUGUAAAUCAUCCCAAGAGUAAAAUGCACAAAUACAAAAUCACAACCAGGAUCUAAUAACAGUAAACCCAAAAUAUGACCACCAAAAAUCUAAGAACUCUGGAUGAUAAUAACCAAGGAAUGUAUUAUUGACAAGGAUAUGUGGCAAACAUGAAUAUACAGCUGUAUCACCACCAUUUAUCAGUAUCACAAAUUUAAUAGGUAAAUAAAUGUAUCAAUCUGAAAUGUAUUAUCGGUAGUGUUAUUUGUCCAAAUGCAUCUCAUCAACUCACUGCAUGUACAUUUAUAUUUGACAAAUAUACUGUGUAGGAUACACAAAAGCUCAAACGCAAAGCAGAUUCUACACCAUAGAAGUGCUACAAUCAGUCCGACUUGCAGUUCCAAUGUGUUCCAAGCAAUUCAAACCCAAGACUAUGCAUGGAUGACUGUAAUCUUGAGUGAAAAUAGGAAAUCCAUUUCUAAGAAUAGGAAUUCUAGUAAUUUAAUGACAGGUAAUCUUAUUCUAAGUUUUGCAUUAAUUCAGGAAUCCUAAUCAGGAAAUUUUAUUAAAU